AGCAGUUAAGAGCUCGGCUUCUAACCGAAAGGUCGGUGGUUCAAACCCACCAGCUGCUC
This 59-nucleotide transfer RNA is filed under the name Loxodonta africana (African savanna elephant). The record is from Rfam by way of RNAcentral. Lineage: Eukaryota; Metazoa; Chordata; Mammalia; Proboscidea; Elephantidae.